GACGAACGCUGGCGGCGUGCUUAACACAUGCAAGUCGAACGGAAAGGCCCUGCUUUUGUGGGGUGCUCGAGUGGCGAACGGGUGAGUAACACGUGAGUAACCUGCCCUUGACUUUGGGAUAACUUCAGGAAACUGGGGCUAAUACCGGAUAGGAGCUCCUGCUGCAUGGUGGGGGUUGGAAAGUUUCGGCGGUUGGGGAUGGACUCGCGGCUUAUCAGCUUGUUGGUGGGGUAGUGGCUUACCAAGGCUUUGACGGGUAGCCGGCCUGAGAGGGUGACCGGCCACAUUGGGACUGAGAUACGGCCCAGACUCCUACAGGGGGCAGCGGUGGGGAAUAUUGCACAGUGGGCGGAAGCCUGAUGCGGCAGCGCCGCGUGCGGGAUGACGGCCUUCGGGUUGUAAACCGCUUUCGCCUGUGACGAAGCGUGAGUGACGGUAAUGUGUAAAGAAGCACCGGCUAACUACGUG
Molecule: ribosomal RNA, 468 nt
Filed under: uncultured bacterium
Lineage: Bacteria
Description: partial 16S ribosomal RNA
Rfam family: Bacterial small subunit ribosomal RNA
Source: RNAcentral